ACUUGAUCCGAGGGGCGGCCCCUGUAUUUUGGCCUGAGAUGUACCCUUUGAACCUGAUCCAGGUGAUGCUGGCGGAGGGACGGACUUUGGAUUUACC
RNAcentral lists this non-coding RNA (97 nucleotides) under Magnetovibrio blakemorei. RNAcentral's name for it is "TPP sequence". It matches the Rfam family "TPP riboswitch aptamer (THI element)". From Rfam's summary of the family: Vitamin B(1) in its active form thiamin pyrophosphate (TPP) is an essential coenzyme that is synthesised by coupling of pyrimidine and thiazole moieties in bacteria. The previously detected thiamin-regulatory element, thi box was extended, resulting in a new, highly conserved RNA secondary structure, the THI element, which is widely distributed in eubacteria and also occurs in some archaea. Lineage: Bacteria; Pseudomonadati; Pseudomonadota; Alphaproteobacteria; Rhodospirillales; Magnetovibrionaceae. The record is from Rfam by way of RNAcentral.